This 305-nucleotide ribosomal RNA is filed under the name uncultured bacterium. Its description in RNAcentral is "bacterial SSU rRNA". It matches the Rfam family "Bacterial small subunit ribosomal RNA", at positions 333 to 653 of the family's 1533-position model. The record is from RNAcentral.
GUGUCCCUACGGGAGGCAGCAGUGGGGAAUAUUGCACAAUGGGGGGAACCCUGAUGCAGCGACGCCGCGUGGGCGAGGAAGUAUUUCGGUAUGUAAAGCCCUAUCGGCAGGGAAGAAGAAAUGACGGUACCUGAAUAAGAAGCACCGGCUAAAUACGGGCCAGCAGCCGCGGUAAUACGUAUGGUGCAAGCGUUAUCCGGAUUUACUGGGCGGAAAGGGAGCGCAGGCGGCGCGCCAAGUCUGAUGUGAAACCCCGGGGCUCAACCCCGGGCAUGCAUUGGAAACUGGCGGGCUGGGGUGACGGG